CAAGUUUCUAUGGGAUCAUAGUCCAGUUCAACUUGGAGAAUACAAAGUUGUUCUUUCUUCCAAAAAUAAAAUAAAAAAUACUAACUAGAUCUCUUUUACAAAAGAAAGACAUGUCUUAGAAAAAUUUAAAGGACCGGACAGGCGAAUACUAAAAAGGUAAAGGCUGAGGACUGUCGACAGAGGCUGCCCAAUGUAAUAAGGACCACCAGGCCCGAUGGGCAGCAGCUCCCAACCUACAGCAGGCGAUUCCAGGUUCGCGAGCAGCACGCAGUUUGACAAACGCCAAGACCCCUGGUCGGGUUCGUGGCACAGACACCGCCAAUGCAACAGCCGCCUGGCCCCGCUCAGCACUACCAGGAGAACUGUGGCCCGCUCCAGUACAGCCCUCCCCUGGAAAUGCGCAGAAGGGAGGUGUCAAAAUCCGCAUCCAGGAGAGAGCUCAGCUUCCACAUGUGAGAGAAAACACAUGAUCCUUGACCUUUAAGGGAGUUCUUUUCUGAUGACUUGUGUUUUCCCUAUAAAGCAUGGACGCCGUGGCCUGUGGAGGUCCAGCAGGUUGAGGAAGGCAGCAAGGAAGACCAGAGGUCAGUGAGUCCUUUUCGCCAAAUGAAAGCCUUACUCCGCCCUCUGGUCAGUCCAUUCCAAGUGGAGACCAGCAGUCUCUGGUCUGAAAAAUGCCUUUACUUCAGGCCCAAAUCAGACAAAAAGGAAGAACAACUUUUGCUGACAGGCCUCAGAGGACCAGGCUGAGGCAUCCUUGACCUUUCUUCUUUCUCUCAGAUGUCCAGUGAACUUUUGUCCAAUUUGUCCUGUAGUCCUCUACCGAUGGCUCCAUUCUAAAACGUCUCUCAAGAGUCUGGAAGGUUGCCAAUCUGGACACAAAAUAGGAGAGUGCCUGAGGGAAGAGAUCAUUCCACAGUUCUUGGUUGUCAGAAAGUUGAAUAUCAUCAAAUGGCUCUGAAAGAAAUGAUGAAAGGGAUCAACGUUGUAAGCAGUGGAACAAGAGGAUUCAUCUGACUCAACUGGAGAUGGCUCCCUUCCCUAAUUUAUUUUUCCUUUCCUAAGGCUUCUCAGUAGAAGCAGCUAGAAGCACAGGGGAAUGGAUACAGACUCACAGAGGCAGCGUUGCCUGGCCACUGAGCCCAAAGCAAAGACAGGCCCCAACUUCUCUCUGGUCCUUCAACCAGGCUUUGCAGAACCUGGAAAGGAAAUCAAUUCCAAAGGCAGGAAAUGACCCACAGACCAUAACAAUAUGUGAAAAAAACGAAGCCGGUGCUUCCGCUGCUUUGUUUCAAACUAUUCUAAUCUGUGUCCCAGGAAGCCUAACCCAGUGCCAGAUGGAGAUCUCUUUUCAGACGCCUCUUGGCAUCUGCCACCCCCCGGCUGGUGACAUUUGCACAUUUCAGAAGGCAAACCUGUCCCCACAUCUUCAAACUUUCAGAGAGGUAUAGCCCCAGGAAAGUCCUUGGGUCCCUGGCUGACAGCACCGACCAUCUGAUUUGCUUCUUCUGCAGCUGAACUGCUGCUGGACCGCAGCCUAGAACGCUAGCACACCAAAUCUGUUCUUGAAAAUCUGCAGAAUCUGAAAUCAAAGUGCCUGGUGCUGCCAGAAAAGCUGGCUUCCUUGCCUGCUUCAUAAUCCUUUCUCAUCAGGCGUUCCUAAAGAAACCUGAUGAGUCAGGAAGGAAGAAAAACGUGUCUGAGGGAGAUCUGGGGGUGGGCUGGUCUCUCUCCUGGCUUCUGAAAAUCCCCUCUUGUUUUGCCAUGCUGGUAACACCUAGGGAUUUGGUUUUACUUUUUCUGUUUCUUCCUCUGUCAGCUCUCCCUCUUGAGAGACCCUUCAUUUACCACUCAUGUAAGUAGCUCUUGCAAAAGCAGGAGGCCCUCUGAUGGGGAGGUAGUCAUGGUUGCAGAGAAGUUUAGAAUUUACUUUUAUCCACAGGAGCAGGGCAAAAAAUCCAAACCAAAACAAACAAAUCCCCGAACCAAGAAAACAAAACUCUGACUCCUACUUCCAGAAGAAACUUGUCACUCACUGCUUUGUUCUGGCCCUGGGGCCGGUGUGUUUCCCAGGGUUUUAAUUUUUACUGAAUACCAGCCAUCAUCAGCCUUCCCACUGAAGUCUGUGUGCCAGUUGGCUUCUAAACACAGUGAGGUGGCUUCUGGGAUAUCAGCUCCAAAUAGGUAUCCAGCUAAUCCCCCCAGGUCAUUGGAAAGUAGCUGUAGUUGCAAAACUAAUGUGCCUGACUAUCAAGACUUUCAAAAUGUGAAACAGGUUAAAGUAGAAAGAAUCCAGUAAAUCUGUCGAUGUCUGACUUAUAGGAAAGUCUCAGCAAGCAAGACAGGAGAGGUUCAAUAUCAGCCUGGUGACAA
Ictidomys tridecemlineatus (thirteen-lined ground squirrel) is the source of this 2373-nucleotide long non-coding RNA. RefSeq lists it as uncharacterized. Lineage: Eukaryota; Metazoa; Chordata; Mammalia; Rodentia; Sciuridae. The record is from RefSeq and is a predicted model, not a curated record.